This 879-nucleotide ribosomal RNA is filed under the name Staphylococcus aureus. Its description in RNAcentral is "partial 23S ribosomal RNA". It matches the Rfam family "Bacterial large subunit ribosomal RNA", at positions 655 to 1536 of the family's 2925-position model. Lineage: Bacteria; Bacillati; Bacillota; Bacilli; Caryophanales; Staphylococcaceae. The record is from RNAcentral.
UAAAUGUGGAGCCGUAGCGAAAGCGAGUCUGAAUAGGGCGUUUAGUAUUUGGUCGUAGACCCGAAACCAGGUGAUCUACCCUUGGUCAGGUUGAAGUUCAGGUAACACUGAAUGGAGGACCGAACCGACUUACGUUGAAAAGUGAGCGGAUGAACUGAGGGUAGCGGAGAAAUUCCAAUCGAACCUGGAGAUAGCUGGUUCUCUCCGAAAUAGCUUUAGGGCUAGCCUCAAGUGAUGAUUAUUGGAGGUAGAGCACUGUUUGGACGAGGGGCCCCUCUCGGGUUACCGAAUUCAGACAAACUCCGAAUGCCAAUUAAUUUAACUUGGGAGUCAGAACAUGGGUGAUAAGGUCCGUGUUCGAAAGGGAAACAGCCCAGACCACCAGCUAAGGUCCCAAAAUAUAUGUUAAGUGGAAAAGGAUGUGGCGUUGCCCAGACAACUAGGAUGUUGGCUUAGAAGCAGCCAUCAUUUAAAGAGUGCGUAAUAGCUCACUAGUCGAGUGACACUGCGCCGAAAAUGUACCGGGGCUAAACAUAUUACCGAAGCUGUGGAUUGUCCUUUGGACAAUGGUAGGAGAGCGUUCUAAGGGCGUUGAAGCAUGAUCGUAAGGACAUGUGGAGCGCUUAGAAGUGAGAAUGCCGGUGUGAGUAGCGAAAGACGGGUGAGAAUCCCGUCCACCGAUUGACUAAGGUUUCCAGAGGAAGGCUCGUCCGCUCUGGGUUAGUCGGGUCCUAAGCUGAGGCCGACAGGCGUAGGCGAUGGAUAACAGGUUGAUAUUCCUGUACCACCUAUAAUCGUUUUAAUCGAUGGGGGGACGCAGUAGGAUAGGCGAAGCGUGCGAUUGGAUUGCACGUCUAAGCAGUAAGGCUGAGUAUUAGG